UAACUUAGCGGAGAGAACUAACUAGGAUUCCCUCAGUAGCUGCGAGCGAACAGGGAAGAGCCCAGCACCGAAUCCAGCGGCCGAUACCGGGCGCCUGGAAAUGUGGUGUUAGGGAGGAUCCGUUUAUCCUGAGGUCGUGCGGUGCGUCCAAGUCCUUCUUGAACGGGGCCACAGCCCAUAGAGGGUGCCAGGCCCGUAGUGACCGCUGCCGAUCGCAGGAGGAUCUCUCCUCAGAGUCGGGUUGCUUGAGAGUGCAGCCCUAAGCGGGUGGUAAACUCCAUCUAAGGCUAAAUAUGACCACGAGACCGAUAGCGAACAAGUACCGUGAGGGAAAGUUGAAAAGCACUUUGAAGAGAGAGUUCAAGAGUACGUGAAACCGUUCAGGGGUAAACCUGAGAAACCCGAAAGGUCGAAAGGGGAAAUUCAUUCGCGUUUCGGCCGUCGGCGUCGGAUGGUCGAGUGACGGAUGGCGUACGCGUCGUCCGCACCUUCCUUCCUUCGAACCGGCGUCGAACGCGUGCACUUUUCCCCUAGUAGGACGUCGUGAUCCGUUGGGUGUCGGUCUAAGGCCUACGGUGGAGCCCGUGCGGACGUUUCGGCGUCCGCUCGGACCCGUGGUGACCCGGCCGACCCGCUCGACGGUAUACAGAUGGCGAGGGGCCGCUACUCAGUUAGCGUUCGGCCUGCGGCAAGCGCGUUCGGCGUUUGACGGCGAUCGGACCUGGUGCCGGUCCUGUCCACGAACGACUGUUGGCCGUGGUGUUCUCGAACAGACCUCAUUUGAAACGCCGAUCUGCGACGCUAUAGCUUUGGGUACUUUCAGGACCCGUCUUGACCGCAA
RNAcentral lists this ribosomal RNA (841 nucleotides) under Macroleptura thoracica. RNAcentral describes it as "eukaryotic LSU rRNA". It matches the Rfam family "Eukaryotic large subunit ribosomal RNA", at positions 43 to 659 of the family's 3401-position model. The record is from RNAcentral. Lineage: Eukaryota; Metazoa; Arthropoda; Insecta; Coleoptera; Cerambycidae.